GAUGAACGCUGGCGGCGUGCCUAAUACAUGCAAGUCGAGCGAACAGACGAGGAGCUUGCUCCUCUGACGUUAGCGGCGGACGGGUGAGUAACACGUGGAUAACCUACCUAUAAGACUGGGAUAACUUCGGGAAACCGGAGCUAAUACCGGAUAAUAUAUUGAACCGCAUGGUUCAAUAGUGAAAGACGGUUUUGCUGUCACUUAUAGAUGGAUCCGCGCCGCAUUAGCUAGUUGGUAAGGUAACGGCUUACCAAGGCAACGAUGCGUAGCCGACCUGAGAGGGUGGACGGCCACACUGGAACUGAGACACGGUCCAGACUCCUACGGGAGGCAGCAGUAGGGAAUCUUCCGCAAUGGGCGAAAGCCUGACGGAGCAACGCCGCGUGAGUGAUGAAGGUCUUCGGAUCGUAAAACUCUGUUAUUAGGGAAGAACAAAUGUGUAAGUAACUAUGCACGUCUUGACGGUACCUAAUCAGAAAGCCACGGCUAACUACGUG
This 497-nucleotide ribosomal RNA is filed under the name uncultured bacterium. RNAcentral describes it as "partial 16S ribosomal RNA". It matches the Rfam family "Bacterial small subunit ribosomal RNA", at positions 28 to 507 of the family's 1533-position model. The record is from RNAcentral.